Long non-coding RNA from Salvia splendens (bonfire salvia), 1234 nucleotides. RefSeq lists it as uncharacterized. The transcript is spliced from 2 exons. Lineage: Eukaryota; Viridiplantae; Streptophyta; Magnoliopsida; Lamiales; Lamiaceae. The record is from RefSeq and is a predicted model, not a curated record.
UUUUUUUUUUCCCAAAUCUUCAAAACCCUAGCCGCUCUCCCUUCCUCGGCGUCGGUCGUCGCUCGCCGGGCCGCCGUACACCGCCAGGCGCCUCUUCCGUCGCUACCGAGUUGCCGACCCUCUCACCGCGUCGGCUCCGUCGCCAUCGGAGCAGAAAAGGAGCAUCGCCCCUCGGGGAGGCCGCCGUCGAGCCUGACUCGGCUGCUGCCCGGCGUGCUUCGAGCCGCUCUUGCCAUCUCCGGCUGCUUCCGCCGUCUCCGGCGCUGACUCAUACUUAUGAGAUGAGUUUUUCCUAUCUUAAGCCUACUUUAGCUUACUUAUUAUGCAGAUUGCAACUUUGAAAAUUUUCCUUACUUGUUGAAAGUGGUUUAGUUGCUUAUUGGAAGGUGCUUAUAGAUCGACACUUGGCUGUGAUUGUUGAGCUUUAAGCUAUAGGAGUUGCUACUGUUAGGCUAUUGGCUUUUGGUAUUUUAUGCACUACUUGAGUUGCUGAGAUUGAGUGGAAAAGGCAUCCAAACCUCCUUAUACUAGUUUCUUUCCAUUGGUUUAUUUGGAAAUUAGCAUGCUAAAUGAGGUCUCUAUGUUGUGGUGCCUCUAAGUGAUGUUGUGGUUCAUGCUUGAGUUUGAGGAAGAAAAGAAAAGAGUGUGAAGGUUACCUUCUCGCACCACUCUGGUGUCUGCUUUUAGCUUCAGUCUCUCUCGCUCUUUACUUCACUAAAUUGCAAUGGUUUGUGGUGGUGGAGGGCAAGGCCGAUGGCGUCACACAUAUAUAUAGGGAGUGAGUAACUGAAAGCCUACAAGGCUGCUCAUGCGUGCAGAAAGUGGGGUCCUUAGGCUGAUCAUGUGGUGGCUAUUUCUACUGCAAUAGUGCAGGGUGACUGGGCUCUGCAAAUUAGUUAACUGAACUCUGCAGCUGGAGUGCUGCAUAUGUGAGUUUUUCUUGGACUGAAACAGCUGGACCAGGGCUGGGAGUGCAGGUUGUUGCACUCACGGAGCCAGAAAAUUACUCCCUCCGUUCCACGUUAAUAGAGGCGGAACUUUUGGGCACGGAGUCUAAGAAAUUGAUGUUUAGUGAGUUAAGUGGGUGUGUAAUAAAGUAGAUAAAGUGAUGUGAUGAGUGUCUUUUACUUUUUAAAUUAUUAUUAAUACUAUUGUUGUAAUGCUUUUUUUUUCUUCUCUAACUCAUAAACUGAAGAUAAAUUCGAUAAUUUAAAUGUUGAUGUUGAGAAUUAAA